Molecule: long non-coding RNA, 2680 nt
Filed under: Strongylocentrotus purpuratus (purple sea urchin)
Lineage: Eukaryota; Metazoa; Echinodermata; Echinoidea; Camarodonta; Strongylocentrotidae
Description: uncharacterized LOC115928659
Source: RNAcentral
AGCUCGCCUGAAACCGCGGCCGCAAUCGUACAGUGCAGUGCGCACGGUACUACGAAACGGAGCGUAUUGAAUGUUCGCUGAAUGAAUGCGUUGCGCAGGCGAGCGUCGUAUGCUAGCUACAGCUAUUGUGUUUGUGUGUAUAUUUAUGUGUGCGAUUCAAUUUUGCAUUUAGAUUGCUUACACGGACAGUACGCAACCCGUUCAUGUAUCAACUACCUGCCUCAGUCUUUUAGCUCUUCUGAUCUGUAGCCUCUCUCAUCUCUAUUCUCUACAUUUCUAUCCUGAUCACCUUCUUCUUCAUUCCCUGAGAAAUGGACGGAUCGACGGACAUCUUGGCAAUAUCAUCUGAAACUGACUUGUGCAGUGAAGUUCAACUCGGGUCUUCACCUGAUUUAAACGGAUCUGGCCUAAAGGUAGGUGACCUCAUUGCCCCCUCUGACCCCCCUCCCUCCACCCCUUCUUUCUUUUUUCAUAUGGCUUACAUAGUUUCCCUUUCUGUCUCCUUUCAUCUCUUCACUCUGACUCAUAGAUUGCUUGUUUUGUGUGUGUUUCCAUGUAUGUUCCUGAAUGUGGGAUUACUACAUGUAAUGAUGUAAUUUGUGAAUGGCAACAACUUCACGGAUUGGUGAAAUAUAAUUAAUCAUGGUUAGGACCACAGGUUGGAAGUCGUGUUCCAUAUUAACUAUAGGGUUAUAGAUCUUGGGAGCAGAAUCUUGGGGGGGGGGGGGGGGGGGGUGGGGGCUUGAGUGCAAUGGUUGGUACUUUUUGGGGGUCUUCAGUACAAUUUGUAUUUGGUGUUUAUGGGACCUGUGUUCAAAUGAUUUCUUAGAGUAAAACGAUAGACCAUACAGUCAAAUCAUGUAGAUAGCCUAAUCUUUUUGGAUGUAGGAUUGGGAGUUGAUCGGUUAAUCUUUGUCCUUUAUAUAUAAAUGAAAUUCUUAAACAUCCACUUAAAAAAAAGGAAUCAUACAAUUUAUUGUGAUGGUAUCCCUGAAACUGGAUUUGUCUUUUUGUUUAAAUUGUGGGUUGCUUGUUAGUAGGUGAGUUUGUGAAGCAGCUCAUGGUGGUAGCAGGUUAAACAGGGUGUCUAAAUGCGAUAUGAAGUAAUUGUUCUAAACCUUUCUCAUACCUCUGGAUAAUAUUUUCUCCUAUCCUCAUAUCUUAUCCCAUUAUCUGUUUUGAUUGUAACCAUUUUUGUAUUUCGUAAAUGAUUGCAGUGAUAUUGACAAUGAGUGAAUGAAAAAAAAGUGUAAGUAAUGGUAGACAAAUCUCUGAAGUUACCAGGGAGGUUCUCUGUUGUGCUUCAUUACAACAAUCCUCUGCAUAUGAUGGUGGUGAUGAUGGCAGUUACCAGUUACCAGCUGAUGAUGAUGAUGAUGGUGAUGAUUGUGAUGAUGAUGAUGAUGGUGGUAGUAGUUAAUGGUAAUGUUAAGGGUAAUGAUGGGGAUGAUGAUAAUAUUGAUGAUGGUGAUGAUCGUGAUGUUGAUAAUGCUGAGAAGAGUGAUAGAUAGUGAUGGUAAUGGUAGGGAUGUUGUUGUUGGUAGUGGUGACGGUGAUGGUAGGGAUGAUGGUGGGAAUGGUGGUGGUGGUGGUGAAGAUGAUGCUGCUAGGUAUAAUGGUUUGAAGAUGAAACCUAAAUACGUGAUACUUCUCAUGCUGGUGGAGAUGAUAAUGAUGAAAAAUAGAUCUGACAAUUUAGAAUUUUACAAGAUUUAAAGGAUGUAACUCAAGACUGUCAUAGAUAUUAAUAAACUUCAAGUUUAUCUCCUCACAAUAAAAGCCGGAGAGUAGGCUGUAUAAACUUAAAGAGAUAAAACAAGAUUAUAUGAAGAUGCAGGUGGCGAUAGAAGUUAUUGAUAUUUUGCGUGUUUGAAGCAGCAAUAAAAAGAGAAUAAUGGGCAAAAUUACUCUUCAUGACAUCCGCCGUUGAUGGAGAACGCUAUCAAUAAUAGAACAGUAGGGAUGAUGCUAGCCAUCAUCGUCAUGGAGACCAUGAACACAGAGAUGUUGACAAAACUUCUUUUGCGAUGAUGGCGCUAUCAGAAGAAUGAAAGCCUGAGUGGCGUUUGCUUGCACACAGUUGUCCAAGUUGUCAACCCAAUGAUUUGAUGCCAAAACAAUUCUAUUUGAAUCGAUCUGUUGAGCAUGAUGGAAAGCAUAUUAUGAAGCAAAAAAAGUGACAUCUCAAAAUCCCCCUGUUAAGAUUUUAAGCAGAAGUCCAAACAUAAAUCUGAAGAAGAGGAUUUCAGUUAUGUAAGUGAGUUUUCUACUACAUACAAUGCACAUAAUCCCAAGGAUUAUUUAAGUGUUUCCAAGGCCCCCCCCCCCUCCAGCUAUAAAUUGCAUGUUGGGUAAUGCUUUUUUAGAGUAUUCUUAGACCUACCAGAAUGUAUUUCAGAUUUGAUUUGAUUUGAUUUGAUUUUAGCUGAUAAAUGGCAGUAUAAGAUAGGUACCGGUAUACUUGUACAUUUCCUGGAAACAGAAAUUAUUGUCUUUUUAAAAUAAAUGUAAGGGUUGAUCAGUGUGAUUUCACACGGACUGUGGAGGUCUUCUUUUUUGAUUUUUUUUUAAAUACUUCAAAAUUUGCCUUGAAAUGAGAUUAAAGGAGAUUAUCUCAAGGGGAUUAUAAGGGGCACUAUGUAAUCUCCUUCAUAGCAUGAAUGUGACGCUACAGUCACCU